Long non-coding RNA from Tigriopus californicus, 1080 nucleotides. RefSeq lists it as uncharacterized. Lineage: Eukaryota; Metazoa; Arthropoda; Copepoda; Harpacticoida; Harpacticidae. The transcript is spliced from 2 exons. The record is from RefSeq and is a predicted model, not a curated record.
CUCUCGUCUUCUUAUUCCGACUACGGUAUGACUAUCUUUGUCUUUUAUCAUGGCCACGACUCGAAGGCUUUUUUUUCCUCAUCGCGACCACGGUCGGAUGUGUCCCUUCUGGCCUUGGUACCUGGCCAAUCCAAUCCAAUAGUAGAAGAACAGAGCACAGCUUGUAAGAAGUCUCGCUCGAGUAGUGCAGUACUGUAGUUUCGAUUUGUACUCGUGGUAGUACUACCUCCUCCACCUCCACCACCACCACCACCACAACCACACUUCCUCCUCUCCAAUCAAACGACAAGGACGAAUAAUUGUCCCUGUGUGGAUGUGGUUGUGGUGGUAUCUGUUCCAAGGCUUAUCUCCAACUUCCAAAGCUUGUUGAUAUCUGGUGAGGGCUGGAAUCUUUCCGGUUCGCCUGGUUAGUUCCGAAACGUGGUUGGAUGUGUGUGCAUCGUCAAUAAUAACGUUCCAGGAGGUCAAUUUCCAACGCCAUUGAAAACGGGAUUGGAUCAUCAGACUAUCAAUGAAGACCCAAUGAACGAUGAACCCAAAUGGAACCGCUAUUGGGCCAACAAAUGGGACUAGCUUUCAAGUGCACCCUCUGCUGGCACCCUUCUGGGAUUUCAUUACUGACCAACAGGUGGUGGCUAUCCUAGGAGGCGUGGUUGGCUUUUGGGGAGGCGUGUUUGGCUGUGGAUUGAUAUUCUUGAUGCUAGUUGCCUAUCGACGAUGGAAGAAACGAAGGUUCAACGAAUUGAACAACCCCACCAUAGUUGAAGAUGGUCACCCAGAAGAACCCAAACAACCCAUACGUGAUCAAGCUGAUCCUGAUCAGAGCGCAACCUCUCCGAAUGACUCUAGCAGGAUGCGUUCCCAACCGACCACUCCAAAAACUCCAAAGAUACCAAACUUUCAAUCCCGUCCAAAGUCACCCCAACCUCAGCCAAGACCCAAACCUGAGGGCGUGUCCAAUAAAAAGAAGAGCCACGUGGCCAACUUGCCCCGACUCCCCAAACCGAUUCCCUCUAUAACACACACGCUUCAUUGAUUGACGAUGCCAAUAUCACCUUGGACGUCGUUCUCUUCUCACAA